Molecule: long non-coding RNA, 281 nt
Organism: Cercocebus atys (sooty mangabey)
Lineage: Eukaryota; Metazoa; Chordata; Mammalia; Primates; Cercopithecidae
Exons: 4
Source: RefSeq, a predicted model, not a curated record
ACACUGACUUCACAUUUCCUUCGUGAGAAGGAACUGAAGACAGAUUCCAGACUUGCUGUGCAUAGAAUGUAUAGUUCAUUGCAUAAUUAUUAAAAAUCCGAAUAUAAUAGAAGUCAGAACGCAUUGCCCAUAAUAAGGCAUGUUACUCAUUAGGCCACUGGAAUGCAACAACAUAGACUUCUAUAUCCAACUGGCUAAAGAAAGCUGCACAACUGGGCACAUUCGUGAAACUCCAGGUGAGAACACAGCAACAAGGCACCAUCUUGGAAGCAGACAGCAAC